CGUAGCUCAGUUGGAAGAGCAUUGGGCUAGUAUUCCAAAGGUCGUAGGUUCGAAUCCCACCGUGGCCGGGCAUAUUUUUCGGGCUCGCCCGGUGUGGAUAUGCACUCAGAGUAACAUCACAAACAUAUUAUUCACCUGAGUACACAACACCAGCACAGAAAAAAUUCAUAUUACAAGAACACAUUGGCAUUGAAGGAACUAGAUACUGUUCCGAAAUAUCACUUACUCGAACCGUCCUGACCGCGUAGCUCAGUUGGAAGAGCAUUGGGCUAGUAUUUCAAAGGUCGUAGGUUCGAAUCCCACCGUGGCCGGGCAUAUUUUUCAAGCUCGCCCGGUGUGGAUAUGCACUCAGAGUAACAUCACAAAACAUAUUAUUCACCUGAGUACACAACACCAGCACAGAAAAAAAAAUUCAUAUUACAAGAACACAUUGGUAUUGAAGGAACUAGAUACUGUUCCGAAAUAUCACUUACUCGAACCGUCCUGACCGCGUAGCUCAGUUGGAAGAGCAUUGGGCCAG
This is a non-coding RNA of Paramuricea clavata, 520 nucleotides long. NCBI's taxonomy places the organism in Eukaryota, Metazoa, Cnidaria, Anthozoa, Malacalcyonacea, Plexauridae. The record is from the annotation of a GenBank genome assembly.